CGAGACUACCAGGAUUCCCCUAGUAACGGCGAGUGAAGAGGGAAAAGCCCAAAUUUGUAAUCUGGCUCUUUCAGAGUCCGAGUUGUAAUUUUGAGAACUGUUUUCCGUGCUGGACCAUUUCUAAGUCUGUUGAAAAAUAGCAUCAUUGAGGGUGAUAAUCCCGUUCAUGAUAUGGACUACCAGUUGCAAUGUGAUACAGUUUUUAAGAGUCGAGUUGUUUGGGAAUGCAGCUCAAAGUGGGUGGUAAAUUCCAUCUAAGGCUAAAUAUAGGUGAGAGACCGAUAGCAUACAAGUACCGUGAGGGAAAGAUGAAAAGAACUUUGGAAAGAGAGUUAACAGUACGUGAAAUUGUUGUAAGGGAAACAUUUAAAGUUAGCCUUGUGCUUGUUAGUUCAGCUCUUUUACUAGGGUGUAUUCUAAUGAUGUCACGGACCAACAUCAGUUUUUGGGUGCUGGAUAAGGGUUCCAGAAAUGUAGCAGUCUUGGCUGUGUUAUAGUCUGGGAUUUGGAUACAGUGCUUGGGACUGAGGAUAUUUGCGGCAAGCCAGUCAAAUGGCCGCCCUUUUUAAGGGCUCCCCUGCCAAGGAUGUUGGUGUCAAUAGCUUUAAAUGAC
RNAcentral lists this ribosomal RNA (613 nucleotides) under Phragmidium zhouquensis. Its description in RNAcentral is "eukaryotic LSU rRNA". It matches the Rfam family "Eukaryotic large subunit ribosomal RNA", at positions 56 to 648 of the family's 3401-position model. The record is from RNAcentral. Lineage: Eukaryota; Fungi; Basidiomycota; Pucciniomycetes; Pucciniales; Phragmidiaceae.